Molecule: ribosomal RNA, 229 nt
Filed under: uncultured bacterium
Lineage: Bacteria
Description: partial 16S ribosomal RNA
Rfam family: Bacterial small subunit ribosomal RNA
Source: RNAcentral
UGAGUAACACGUAUCCAACCUGCCGUCUACUCUUGGCCAGCCUUCUGAAAGGAAGAUUAAUCCAGGAUGGCAUCAUGAGUUCACAUGUCCGCAUGAUUAAAGGUAUUUUCCGGUAGACGAUGGGGAUGCGUUCCAUUAGAUAGUAGGCGGGGUAACGGCCCACCUAGUCAGCGAUGGAUAGGGGUUCUGAGAGGAAGGUCCCCCACAUUGGAACUGAGACACGGUCCAA